AGUGAACGCUGGCGGUAGGCCUAACACAUGCAAGUCGAACGGCAGCACAGUAAGAGCUUGCUCUUACGGGUGGCGAGUGGCGGACGGGUGAGGAAUACAUCGGAAUCUACUUUUUCGUGGGGGAUAACGUAGGGGAACUUACGCUAAUACCGCAUACGCCCUACGAGUGAAAGCAGGGGAACUUCGGACCUUGCGCGAUUGAAUGAGCCGAUGUCGGAUUAGCUAGUUGGCGGGGUAAAGGCCCACCAAGGCGGGGAUCCGUAGCUGGUCUGAGAGGAUGGUCGGCGACACUGGAACGGAGACACGGUCCAGACUCCUACGGGAGGCAGCAGUGGGGAAUAUUGGACAAUGGGCGCAAGCCUGAUCCAGCCAUACCGCGUGGGUGAAGAAGGCCUUCGGGUUGUAAAGCCCUUUUGUUGGGAAAGAAAAGCAGCAGGUUAAUACCCCGCUGUUCUGACGGUACCCAAAGAAUAAGCACCGGCUAACUUCGUG
RNAcentral lists this ribosomal RNA (492 nucleotides) under uncultured bacterium. RNAcentral describes it as "partial 16S ribosomal RNA". It matches the Rfam family "Bacterial small subunit ribosomal RNA", at positions 29 to 507 of the family's 1533-position model. The record is from RNAcentral.